Molecule: long non-coding RNA, 1343 nt
Organism: Camelus dromedarius (Arabian camel)
Lineage: Eukaryota; Metazoa; Chordata; Mammalia; Artiodactyla; Camelidae
Exons: 3
Source: RefSeq, a predicted model, not a curated record
UUAAGCACCUAAUAGUUGCCAGACACUGUGCUAAGAGCUUCUUAUAGUCUAUUUCUAAUUUUCACAAGAUCCUUCUGAGGUAGGUAAUAUUUUCUGCCUUCCCUACAUGAAGAAUCAAAGGCUGAGAGUGUAGGUAACUUAGACAAAGCCACAGAUCUGGCAGGUGACAAAGGCAGGAUUCAGGUGCAACUAAGUCCUUUCUGCUGUGCAGGGUUACAGAGCACACUAACAGUUAUCUUUGGCUAUAGCUGCUUCACAUCAGAACUUCCAGAACCAGACACUAAAAGAAAAGUAGGUACUUUUUCUCCUGAAUCACCUAUGAGAGCAGGAGAUAGUCUUUGGAUCAAGUCAGCUAAACUUGUAUUAAUAUGUAUAGGAAACCAAAAAGCGGGAGGCUGGAAGAAUUGCCAGAGCAGGUGGUUCAGGGAAUGACUCUGGAUUAUAAGGUUCUAACUGCUCUGCCCAUUUUAACCAGUGGUUUGGGUCAGGGUGGAGACUUAGAGAGACUAGCUGUCAAUGCAGAUUCUCAUAUUAUUCACCAGGAGGUAUUAAAGGCAGCCGUUAAAUUUGAAGGGUUAUCGGAGAGAGAUAAUAAAUUCACUCAUUGUUCAUUAGCAUGCAGGGUGGAAUAUUAAAGACACAAGACCUGAAACGUCCAAGAUUUUAUGAUGGGGAGAGCCUAGGUGGGACCUCAGUAGGCAAUGGAGGCACACAGUGAGGACAUGAAGGUUCUGAAGAGAAAUGAGGGUGUUAAAUUUGAUUCAGAGAAAGGGCCCAAGUUACUCUAUAGUUUAAGUUUUGGAGGCUAGUUGGGAAUUUUAUUGGUUGAUUUUUAUAUUCAGGAUCAUCCCCAGGGAUCUAUUUGGAAAUAAACCUCGGGAACACAUCGCAAUAGAAAUUGAUCCAGACCAUCCAAAAACCACUGAUUAGGAUCUAGCGUUACUCUCCACCCAUCCUUCUAAACGAUGCUUCAGACGGUUCCAGGCUCUCAGCACCCACCUCGACCAUGACUUUGAUUCCACUUUACAGUGUCCAACUUCACCAGCAACUCCAGAGCGCUGCCUGCACUCACUGAGUUACCAGCCUGGGAUCUAGAGAUGUGAGAACAUCUAUCCCAUGUGUGACACUGAUUACUGGGAUGGAGGUGACCAACUUGACUGGACAGUAGACAGCCGCUCCACCCUCCCUGUGCCACUCAGACCCUUCCUGAAGUUCCAGAAGCUUGGCGCCUUUGAAAAGAAUACCUUCUCAGAGACAUGAUCGUUUCUGGGUCAAAGGUAAUAUUCUUUGGCUUAUUAAAUAUGUUUACAUAGUCUAGUCCUGCAUUGUCUAAUAUGGCAGCU